Molecule: RNase P RNA, 395 nt
Filed under: Deltaproteobacteria bacterium
Lineage: Bacteria; Pseudomonadati; Myxococcota; Myxococcia
Description: RNase P RNA component class A
Rfam family: Bacterial RNase P class A
About the family: Ribonuclease P (RNase P) is a ubiquitous endoribonuclease, found in archaea, bacteria and eukarya as well as chloroplasts and mitochondria. Its best characterised activity is the generation of mature 5'-ends of tRNAs by cleaving the 5'-leader elements of precursor-tRNAs. Cellular RNase Ps are ribonucleoproteins.
Source: RNAcentral
AGAGUAGAACAAAUGGCCGCUGCCUUGCCAUUCGGGCAAGGGGGAGGAAAGUCCGGGCUCCACAGGACAGGAUGCUGGGUAACGCCCAGUCCCGGUGACGGGAAGGAAAGUGCCACAGAAAGUAGACCGCCCGAUACUCAGUUCACUGAGUGCCGGGUAAGGGUGAAAGGGUGAGGUAAGAGCUCACCAGUCCCGCCGGUGACGGCGGGAGCUAGGCAAACCCCAUCCGGAGCAAGACCAAAUAGAGGAACGUUUAAGGGUGGUCCGCCCGAGUUCCCGGGUAGGUCGCUUGACCCCGAUGGCAACAUCGGGGCUAGAUGAAUGGUCAUUGUCCCGAAGUCCCGCUUACAGCGGGACUUCGGGAAACAGAACCCGGCUUAUGGGCUGCUCUAACA